Molecule: ribosomal RNA, 236 nt
Filed under: uncultured bacterium
Lineage: Bacteria
Description: partial 16S ribosomal RNA
Rfam family: Bacterial small subunit ribosomal RNA
Source: RNAcentral
UUGUUCGGAAUUACUGGGCGUAAAGGGCUCGUAGGCGGCCAACUAAGUCAGACGUGAAAUCCCUCGGCUUAACCGGGGAACUGCAUCUGAUACUGGAUGGCUUGAGUUCGGGAGAGGGAUGCGGAAUUCCAGGUGUAGCGGUGAAAUGCGUAGAUAUCUGGAGGAACACCGGUGGCGAAGGCGGCAUCCUGGACCGACACUGACGCUGAGGAGCGAAAGCCAGGGGAGCAAACGGG